Molecule: ribosomal RNA, 642 nt
Filed under: Salmonella enterica subsp. enterica serovar Typhimurium
Lineage: Bacteria; Pseudomonadati; Pseudomonadota; Gammaproteobacteria; Enterobacterales; Enterobacteriaceae
Description: partial 23S ribosomal RNA
Rfam family: Bacterial large subunit ribosomal RNA
Source: RNAcentral
CAAGACAACUUUACGGAGUUGACGAUUGACGGAGCGAAGCGACGUCAAAGCGUUCAUUAAAGUCGAGUUGGCUUAGGGAUACGUUCGUUGGGUAGGGGAGCGUUCUGUAAGCCUGUGAAGGUGUGUCGUGAGGCAUGCUGGAGGUAUCAGAAGUGCGAAUGCUGACAUAAGUAACGAUAAAGCGGGUGAAAAGCCCGCUCGCCGGAAGACCAAGGGUUCCUGUCCAACGUUAAUCGGGGCAGGGUGAGUCGACCCCUAAGGCGAGGCCGAAAGGCGUAGUCGAUGGGAAACGGGUUAAUAUUCCCGUACUUGGUGUUACUGCGAAGGGGGGACGGAGAAGGCUAUGUUGGCCGGGCGACGGUUGUCCCGGUUUAAGCGUGUAGGUGUGUGUUCCAGGUAAAUCCGGUUCACUUUAACACUGAGGCGUGAUGACGAGGCACUACGGUGCUGAAGCAACAAAUGCCCUGCUUCCAGGAAAAGCCUCUAAGCAUCAGGUAACAUCAAAUCGUACCCCAAACCGACACAGGUGGUCAGGUAGAGAAUACCAAGGCGCUUGAGAGAACUCGGGUGAAGGAACUAGGCAAAAUGGUGCCGUAACUUCGGGAGAAGGCACGCUGACACGUAGGUGAAGUGAUUUACUCA